CAAUAGCGUAUAUUAAAGUUGUUGCAGUUAAAAAGCUCGUAGUUGGAUUUGUGGCGUACGGUGUGUUCCGGGCACUUGUUGUCUGAGUAACCUGCUGUUGCCAUCCUUGGGUGGAACCUGUGUGGCAUUAGGUUGUCGUGCAGGGGAUGCCCAUCAUUUACUGUGAAAAAAUUAGAGUGUUCAAAGCAGGCUUAUGCCGUUGAAUAUAUUAGCAUGGAAUAAUGAGAUAGGACUUUUUUGCUAUUUUGUUGGUUUGCGCAAAGAGGUAGUGAUUAAUAGGGACAGUUGGGGGUAUUCGUAUUCCAUUGUCAGAGGUGAAAUUCUUGGAUUUUUGGAAGACGAACUACUGCGAAAGCAUUUACCAAGGAUGUUUUCAUUAA
This 380-nucleotide ribosomal RNA is filed under the name uncultured eukaryote. RNAcentral describes it as "partial 18S ribosomal RNA". It matches the Rfam family "Eukaryotic small subunit ribosomal RNA", at positions 592 to 976 of the family's 1831-position model. The record is from RNAcentral.